This 526-nucleotide ribosomal RNA is filed under the name uncultured bacterium. Its description in RNAcentral is "bacterial SSU rRNA". It matches the Rfam family "Bacterial small subunit ribosomal RNA", at positions 20 to 518 of the family's 1533-position model. The record is from RNAcentral.
UGGCUCAGGACGAACGCUGGCGGCGUGCCUAAUACAUGCAAGUCGAACGGUCUUUCUAUGGAAGCUUGCUUCCACUGAGAAGAUAGUGGCGAACGGGUGAGUAACACGUGGGUAACCUGCCCAUAAGAGGGGGGAUAACAUCCGGAAACGGGUGCUAAUACCGCAUAGUUUUCUUGAUCGCAUGAUCGGGAAAGGAAAGACGGCCUUUGUGCUGUCGCUUAUGGAUGGACCCGCGGCGUAUUAGUUAGUUGGUGAGGUAACGGCUCACCAAGACGAUGAUACGUAGCCGACCUGAGAGGGUGAUCGGCCACAUUGGGACUGAGACACGGCCCAAACUCCUACGGGAGGCAGCAGUAGGGAAUCUUCCGCAAUGGACGAAAGUCUGACGGAGCAACGCCGCGUGAGUGAAGAAAGGUUUUCGGAUCGUAAAACUCUGUUGUCAGAGAAGAACAAGUUGGAGAGUAACUGCUCCAGCCUUGACGGUAUCUGACCAGAAAGCCACGGCUAACUACGUGCCAGCCGCCGC